GUACGACAAUAGUAGUACAAUUUUCUGUAUUAGCUGAUAAGAAUAUUUUGAGUUUGAUGUUUGCAUGGAAGUUGUGUUCAUCUUUUGUUUGAUGUUACUUGCUGUUUUGCUUUUGCUUUUGUUUUAUACAUUUGUACUUGUUCAUUAUUUAAUUCCUUUCCCUUUUUCCUUGUUAAAUUCCAUAGAAUAGGUUAGUAUUAGUUAGAAUAAGAUAGUUGAGUGUAGGUUGUUUGUUAUUUUGGGUAGAUUUCUUAGUUAAGGUAAUUGGUAAGUAUUUUAGAUUGUGCACAAAUACAAAAAUAGUGUUUCCAAAACAAUUUUUGUUUUAUGCAAAAGGGGGGGACUGUAAUAGGAUGAGGAAAUUUGCAAAAAGACUUUGCAAUGCAAACUUUCAAGUGAUUGACAGGAGCAUGUGAUGGAGAGUCACAUGAGAGCCUAAGGGUCAAGAUCUGGGUAAGUAUUCUAGGGUCCCAACAGAAACUUCCCUUCUCUCCUGAAGGACCUUGGAUUGGAGGUUUUACAUCAGGUUUCUGGCUUUUGUGAUACCAGCUGAAGAGAAAAGAAUCCUGCUUGGACUGGCUGCUGGCAGCUAGGACAGAGGAUUAAAAACUCACUUCUCCACUGGACCUGAUUUGGACAAUUUUCAUCUGAAGAUCCUGGCCCAUUGACUGGACUCCAUUUUAACAGCCUCUGUGUCCAGUCUCUGCUCUUGGAAGAGUUUGAAGUGGAAUGUUGGCCCUGCAACCUCUCAUGCAUCCAGCUUUGCAAAAUCCCUUUCCUACAGUAUUGAUUGUAAGAGAGAAGCAGCUUCAACUAUGAGAUUGGAAGAGGCAAUGGAAUGGAACAAAAAAGAGAGCAUAUCUUCAACAGAGGAAAAGUUGGAGACACUGGAAGCACAAAUUGAGGGAGAUUUCAACUCACACUCUUAUGCUGCUUAUUUAGCAUAAUAUGUUUACUGUUAAUGAAUGUUUAACAUUCUAGUCUGGUUAGGCCAGUCUAAUGAAUAUAACCGUCUUUAAACUGUAGAUCGCUUUCAAUGAAAAUGUGAUAACAUAGCAAGAUUAUACAUUUCAUAUCCUUAAAACAAAUAAUCUCACUUCUGGGCUUAUACUCAUGAGGAUGUCAAAGGCUAGAAAUAAAAUUCCAAU
RNAcentral lists this long non-coding RNA (1148 nucleotides) under Monodelphis domestica (gray short-tailed opossum). RNAcentral describes it as "lncRNA (ENSMODG00000049453.1)". Lineage: Eukaryota; Metazoa; Chordata; Mammalia; Didelphimorphia; Didelphidae. The record is from RNAcentral.